CCGCGGCACGAACUUUAUUAACCUGAUAAUUAGGGAAGCCUCGCAGUGCCACAGAAGGUCGUCUCCAAUUGGAUGGGGGUUUUCUAAAGAACGAAGGAAUUCGUUGUUGUAAAAACAAAAGCAAUUGUCAAAUCGAGCCAAUGAAAAUCACUCUUCCGAGCUACUGCAAGACUACCCGAUAAUUCAAGUGAUAUAAUGAUUAAAGGGGAAGUCAAGUCCGUAAUGUAAACAAACGGUUUGUUUACAUUUUGAACUGCUGUAUUUUUUAAAAUAUGAUGUACUGUCUGAAUAUCUAACACCAUUUUGGUUCGUUAUGCUUCUACAUGAAUAUGAAAUAGAGUUUGUGUUCAGAAAAAUUCGAAACAUUCAAAAUUUGGGCAAUGUUUACCUCAGAGGGCCCUCUAUUGUUAUGCGCAGAACCGAUGCGCAGAACGGACUUGACUUCCCCUUUAAUGGAAAUUUUUACUUCUUUCUUAAAUAUCUAUGUUAAGUAUAGAGUAAAUAAUAUAUAAUAAUUGCUUUCGCUGGACUCAAAGAUGGAUACAUAAUCAUCUAAAUUAAUUGUAAGUUUGUAACGUAAGGUUUUUACAUUUCAUUUAAAUUUUUAAAGGUGAUGUAAAGUCCGUAAUGUAAACAAACGCUUUGUUUACAUUUUGAACUCACUGCUACAGUUGUAAAAUAUGAUUAGAUAUAUAUUAUACUUAAUUUUUAACACUUUUCUGGUUCGUUAUGCUUGUAAAUGAAUACAGACUAGAGAUUCAAUUCAAGAAAGUUCGGAAGGUGCGAAAUAUUAACAACAUUCCAAAGGUUGCUCCCCCACUGAUGGAAUGUUUUGAUGCGCAGAAUAUAUGCGCAGAACGGACUUUACCGCAUCUUUAAUUAUUUUUAGCUGCCAUCUUUAUUAAUCCAUUUAUAACAAAAAGAACUCCAUAUUAUACAAUAAUUAUAUAAGGGAUGUAUUAAUCUUUUCGUGCCAUUUCUAGAAAAUUCGACAUUUUCUGAACAGAGCAAAAUUGACGUCAGGACAGACAAUUUAAUUUAUAUAAGCGGACGAAGCAUUCAUCCGUGAGAAUUUGCAUUUUUGCUCAAAUCAAGCCAGUGACUGGGCACAAAUGUCUAUUACUUAGUAAACAUAUACGUCAUAUAUUAUACUCGAAAAUAACUUGCAUGUUUUAGUUGCUGUCAAUGAAGAAGAAAGCCUUGUGACCAGCAUAGCUCGUACACAGUUUGGUAAAGGAUUACAUGGUAGCUUUGUUUGUAUUCAAGCUAAAGUUCAAAGAUAAUACAAGUCAAAGGCAGACAUCAAACAGCGUGGAAUAAGCAAAGAAAACGUCUAGGUUCCAAGCAUAUUCCAAGCGAAUCAAAGCAGGCACUGAACAGCCAAGAACUACUUUACUUCAGAUUUUUAUCCAGUGACCAGUUCAAACCAUGGCAAACCAUACCAACACAACAGAACGAGAAGAAUAUUUCAUGGUAGGAUGGUUUAAAUAUCCCAAAGACCUCGAUGUCAACUAUGAUCUUCUUCAGUUACUAUAUAUCAUCAUUAUGAUCACAUCCUUGCCAUUAAAUGUCAUAUUCCUAGCAAUGAUAAUCAAAAACUCUGGCAAUAAAACUUGGACUAAUAUGAGCAUUAUUCUCGCAAGUAUGUGCGUGUUGUUUUUAACUAUGAACAGUAUCACUACAGCGAACCAAGUUUAUAGAAUAUAUCACGGAGAUCAGACGACACUUAUAAGUGAUAAUGUGAUCAAAAAUGUCCUACAAGUAGCAUUCACAAAAUAUUACUUUAGCGCUUUCCUUUUAGCGCUUAUUACAUACGGUAUGAUAGUUAAACCAUUGCUAUAUAAAGCUCUGGCGCCCAAGCCACGAACUAUGGUGUUUAUAAUCUUGGGACUGUGGAUAACUGGCGGAGGAGUGUUUCUGAUCCUACCAUUAUUUAUCAACGAUAACAUUAUGCGGACGAUUGCGGUUUUAUUUUGUUGGAUAAAGACAUUUGUGAUGGCGAUUAUGCAUGCAAAAAUUUUGACCACACUUCGACGUAGAAAACGUGAACUACGAAACACAUUAAAUGUGGCAGCCUCACGUCAAGGUUUACUGGUUAUUAAACAGAAUUCAAAGCUAGCUACAACACUGUUUUUAUAUAUUUUAUUCAUGGUUCUAAUGACACUACCUAUAGGUACAUGUAUAUUUUUAUUAAACAACUGCCCGUCAUGUAAUAAUCCACUAACUAUAAAGAUUAUUCUCCAUCUCAUUCCCGUCUCGGUGUCAAUGUCUGUCUUGUUCCCAGUCCACUGGCUGUUCGGCACGCCACAGUACUACAACGAGAUCAAGACACUGGGUUCGAAACUGAUGACGUGUUUCAAACAUUAAAUGUCACAGAUCUCAAAUGAAAACUGGAUAGCGCAAUCCGUUGUUAACUGGUAUACAUAAUGAAUCUAGUUUUAAAAACAUUUGAGAUUCAGUUCAGUUAUAUUUGUAAGUUCAUUGAUUGAAAACAUUCUUAAAAUGUAUAAAUAGAGAUGAAGGAGAUCAUUUAACACGAACAUGUAAUUAUAUGAAUGGACAUUAACAUAUAAAUUAGGAUUUCUAGCCAUUUGCAUGCAAAUAUUUAACAAAAGGAUAUUUAUUCUGUUGUCUAUAAUUUAUUCUGAAUUAUUCUUCUUUUAUCAAAAAGCAA
RNAcentral lists this long non-coding RNA (2674 nucleotides) under Paramuricea clavata. Lineage: Eukaryota; Metazoa; Cnidaria; Anthozoa; Malacalcyonacea; Plexauridae. The record is from RNAcentral.